CUGUCGAGCGGACGUUUUUGAAGCUUGCUUCAAAAAGCGUUAGCGGCGGACGGGUGAGUAACACGUGGGCAACCUACCUUAUCGACUGGGAUAACUCCGGGAAACCGGGGCUAAUACCGGAUAACAUCUAGCACCUCCUGGUGCCGGAUUAAAAGAGGGCUUCUUGCUCUCACGAUGAGAUGGGCCCGCGGCGCAUUAGCUAGUUGGAGAGGUAACGGCUCCCCAAGGCGACGAUGCGUAGCCGACCUGAGAGGGUGAUCGGCCACACUGGGACUGAGACACGGCCCAGACUCCUACGGGAGGCAGCAGUAGGGAAUCUUCCGCAAUGGACGAAAGUCUGACGGAGCAACGCCGCGUGAGUGAUGAAGGGUUUCGGCUCGUAAAGCUCUGUUAUGAGGGAAGAACACGUACCGUUCGAAUAGGGCGGUACCUUGACGGUACCUCAUCAGAAAGCCACGGCUAACUACGUGCCAGCAGCCGCGGUAAUACGUAGGUGGCAAGCGUUGUCCGGAAUUAUUGGGCGUAAAGCGCGCGCAGGCGGCCUUUUAAGUCUGAUGUGAAAUCUUGCGGCUCAACCGCAAGCGGCCAUUGGAAACUGGGAGGCUUGAGUACAGAAGAGGAGAGUGGAAUUCCACGUGUAGCGGUGAAAUGCGUAGAUAUGUGGAGGAACACCAGUGGCGAAGGCGACUCUCUGGUCUGUAACUGACGCUGAGGCGCGAAAGCGUGGGGAGCAAACAGGAUUAGAUACCCUGGUAGUCCACGCCGUAAACGAUGAGUGCUAGGUGUUAGGGGUUUCGAUGCCCGUAGUGCCGAAGUUAACACAUUAAGCACUCCGCCUGGGGAGUACGGCCGCAAGGCUGAAACUCAAAGGAAUUGACGGGGGCCCGCACAAGCAGUGGAGCAUGUGGUUUAAUUCGAAGCAACGCGAAGAACCUUACCAGGUCUUGACAUCCUUUGACCACUCUGGAGACAAAGCUUCCCCUUCGGG
This 988-nucleotide ribosomal RNA is filed under the name uncultured Bacillus sp. RNAcentral's name for it is "bacterial SSU rRNA". It matches the Rfam family "Bacterial small subunit ribosomal RNA", at positions 59 to 1024 of the family's 1533-position model. Lineage: Bacteria; Bacillati; Bacillota; Bacilli; Caryophanales; Bacillaceae. The record is from RNAcentral.